AGUAGGGAUGGGCCGAUAUCGAUACCAAAUGCUCGAUACUAUCGAUACCAGGGUUUUGAAGAAAAGUAUCGAUACUGGGAAGAAAUAUCGAUUGUUUCGAUAUUUCUGAGCCUGCGAUAUUUUUUAUUUUGCUCAGCGGACUCAUCAUGACAAUGAUACCCAAAAAGCCUAAAUAGGCGUAAAUACAGAGUUCGUGGUUAUGUUAGUUACAAUCAUGAGAAUAAACGUGUUGAAAACGUAUUCAACCAGCAUGAUUUUGGCGUCGAAGAGAUGAAAAUAGUCUUUUGUUGUUGUGGUUGUUCGAGUUGGGAAAAUAUCGAUAUACCAAUAUCGAUAUCGAAAAAAAAUGGCAAAUAUCGAGUAAUAUCGUAUCGAAUGAAAAAGCUAGUAUCGCCCAUCCCUAGUUGUGAGUACAGGAAGAUAUAUCGUGCAUGGUAUAUAGGACCAUGGCGACAGCAUUUUGAUAACGAACCAUUGCAAAUUAUGGCGUGGCGACCUUCUGUUUGUCUCUAUUCUGUGAUUUGGAUAAUCCAAAAUUGUGAAUCACGUAAUGUAAACCUAAGUCACCUUAAUAUUUAAUAAUGGCACUUUUCUUGUAGAAACUCCCGUAGUGUACAUCAGCCUAAAAAUGUAUGCAAAUUGUCAGCAAAUUAGGUAUAUGCUAAUAAUGAUAUUAUUGAAAGCAAUAUUGUAGCAGGGCUGAUAUUUUAUCACGGUACUCGCGGCAAUAUUGCCGUAGUUCGAGAGGAAAAUGCCGUGGACCACUAUGGGAGUUAGUUUAGCUGUAAUGACUAAUGUAAUUUUGGGGGGAAUUGGUGUUAUCAGUAUACAGAAAAUUAUGUAAUGAUUUUUCUCUGUGUAUCCUGUAGGACCUGUAGAUGUUGUAAUGUUACUCAUAAAAUGUUUUGUAGUUUAUGUGUAAUCGUAAUAAAUAUUGAAAUCUCUAAACGCAGAAGAAUGAUUUUCUACCACAACUGAGGUGCCACCCACAAUGCAUAUGACAUAUUACAUGAAAAAUGCCGUAGAACUGACGAAAAUUGCCGUAUAGAGAGACGCUGGGCUCUGCGCCAAUUUUUGACGCCGUUGCCGGGGAAGGCGAUUCCAGGCCCGUACUUGCAGUCUGCAUGAUAGCGCCGUAGCUUGAGCGUAUACAGUAAAACCCC
Paramuricea clavata is the source of this 1163-nucleotide non-coding RNA. The record is from the annotation of a GenBank genome assembly. Lineage: Eukaryota; Metazoa; Cnidaria; Anthozoa; Malacalcyonacea; Plexauridae.